ACCGGCGGCUCGAGUGGUGGCCACUAUUACUGGGCUUAAAGCGUUCGUAGCUGGCUUGUUAAGUCUCUGGGGAAAUCUUCCGGCUCAACCGGAAGGCGUCUCAGGGAUACUGGCAGGCUAGGGACCGGAAGAGGUGAGAGGUAAUCCAGGGGUGGGAGUGAAGACCUGUGAGCCUAGGGGGAGCACCUGUGGCGGAGGGGUCACACCGGAUCGGAACCGAUAGUGAUGAGCGAAAGUUAGGAACACAAGCCG
Molecule: ribosomal RNA, 252 nt
Filed under: uncultured prokaryote
Description: partial 16S rRNA
Rfam family: Archaeal small subunit ribosomal RNA
Source: RNAcentral